Molecule: long non-coding RNA, 2101 nt
Organism: Mauremys reevesii (Reeves's turtle)
Lineage: Eukaryota; Metazoa; Chordata; Testudines; Geoemydidae
Exons: 3
Source: RefSeq, a predicted model, not a curated record
GCUGUGGAGAGGGAAGGACCUGACUGUCUGGGAGCCUAGGGUACUAGGAGUAAAGCAGGGCUGGGGAAAGGCAAGAGGAGCUGGGGAUCUCCAGCCUGGAAAACCCUCAGGCUGCAGGCCUUGGUGAAGGCCUACACAGCACACAGGACUAUUUCACUACCACCAAGAGGACCCAGUAUUUGAGUGGGAUCAGCUUAUGGAUGAAGAACAGCUGGCUGAAGCCUAACCAAAGCGAGAUGGAGGUUAUGCUGGGAGGCAGAGGAAAACACCUCGAAGAAGAGCAGUCUCUGCUGGUUGAAGCCUCAGCCAGCUGGCUUCUAUCCAUGCCCGAUUCUCAGCCAGACAUUUGGAGAGACAGUCAACUGUAUUGCCUAAGUCAGAAGAGACCAACAUAAAGCUGGGUAUCAUCUAUGUACUAAAGAGACCACAACACAUGCAUGCUAUCAAAUCUCCCACUGGCCUGAAAUACACAUUGAACAAGUGGCUCCCUACAGCUGGUUUGUCAGCUCCAUAAAGCAAUGAGGUCCAAUCCACUAGUUGCACACAGAGUUGGAGAGUAAGUGUCUCCUCUACUCUGCCCACAAAGAAUUUGCCUUGUACCUGAAAGUGGAUCCAUGGACUGCUCUGCCCACAGCAGGUUCUGUUUCUUCUCUCCAUGCUAGUCUCAGGUCACUUGUGAAGAGUUUUGGACUCAUCCACUACCCCGUUCAUGGGCUGGCAAAUACCUUCUUCCUAUUGGGGAUAGUACUACUUGUUUUCCAGAGCUUCAAAGAUGCUGAACAUGCUCUGACUUUCACUGUAUAUGUGUGCAUACAACCAUGCACACAAGAAGUAUCAUCAGAAGUUAGUUUUCAACUUGCCCAGCUUCCAUCCUAUGCUUGUUCCCUAUCCAAUGUGUUGUCUAAACUCAACUGAAAGACAUUUAGGGCCAAAUUUCCAUAGAAGCCUCAGUCCACAAUCACAGUCAACAGUGAGUGCAGGUAGAUAUUUAAAUUAUUUUCACCCUCAGUUGAUUAAGAGUGCAAAAUUAUGGGCUUCACAUCAUUAUUCUCAUUGCAUUAUUUGUAUUACAGUAGCACUGAAAGAACACGACAGAGACUAGGGCACCAUUGUGCUAGACAGAGUACAGUCAUAAGAUUGAAAAAGAGCUCUUAUCCCAGAGAUCUUACACUACUUUGGUCUCUUCUAAAAGCAGUUUUUUCUUUUCCCUCCAUUCAAAAAGUUGAAACUUUCACAAAUUGUUUCUUUUAAUGAAAAAGGAAAAUUAAUCCAACCAGAUCACUUCCUGUUGGAUACCAAUUUUAAGAUAAGGACCAAGGAAAAAUAAAAUAAAAUAAAUGUGUAUUUCUCUGGAAAUAUCUCCUCUGCAGAACACCAGCCACUGAGAAAGAUAUUCUUUUGGCUUAGCAAAAAGAGACACCUCCUUACUGCUGUUUAAAGGUGGGGGCAGGGAGAAGCUUUGAAAACUGUGUCAAGCUGGACAUGGUACAUCUUUCAUCCUAUUUCUAAUGGAUCACCUUUGAAAUCUAGGUAGGUGAAGCCACCUGGCUGACACCCAAUCUCUCACAUCAUGUACUAAAGCUUUUCUUCUCAUAUAGAAAUGUUCUGAAAUGGGGCAUUUUACAACAGUUAUUGCAGAUACACACACACACACACAGAGAGAGAGACACGGUACUUCUAGUCUAGUAAAACUUUUCGAAUAAUAAGACGACUUAAGGGCCAGUAUCAAGUAGUUCAGAGUCAAGAUUUAGGAUCUAAACAAAAAUGAAAAAUCCUUGAGGGAAAAAGUGUUAAAAGGUUUAGGUUUCCAAAACUAAGUAGGGGAUUUAAACACACAAUGCAUUAACUUGAGUUGAGUACCUAAAUACCCUAGCUAUCUUUGAAAAUCUCAACCCUAAUCUCUAUAGAAAUCGUUUUCAGGACUGCUUUUAAACACUUUAAUGAAAAAAGAAGGUUGGGUUAUUCUUUUAAUGUAAACUUUCUCUUGCAGUGCUUGUAACCUUUACUCUGUGUAACUGUGCUAAUGCAUGAGAGCCAGGAGGAGAAAUAUAUUAUAGACUGACUAGUAUAAAUGUACUGACUAAGAUAAGUGAAAUAUAAA